ACAUGACCCGUCGAACGAGGUACCCCUGAAGGAGUUUUCGGUCAACUAAAGGGACUACCGAGUGGCGGACGGGUGAGUAACGCGUGAGUAACCUGCCUUGGAGUGGGGAAUAACAGCCGGAAACGACUGCUAAUACCGCAUAAUGCAUUUGAGCUGCAUGGCUCUGAAUGCCAAAGAUUUAUCGCUCUGAGAUGGACUCGCGUCUGAUUAGCUAGUUGGUGGGGUAAAGGCUCACCAAGGCGACGAUCAGUAGCCGGACUGAGAGGUUGAACGGCCACAUUGGGACUGAGACACGGCCCAGACUCCUACGGGAGGCAGCAGUGGGGAAUAUUGGGCAAUGGGCGCAAGCCUGACCCAGCAACGCCGCGUGAAGGAAGAAGGCUUUCGGGUUGUAAACUUCUUUUAAGAGGGACGAAACAAAUGACGGUACCUCUUGAAUAAGCCACGGCUAACUACGUGCCAGCAGCCGCGGUAAUACGUAGGUGGCAAGCGUUAUCCGGAUUUACUGGGUGUAAAGGGCGUGUAGGCGGGACUGCAAGUCAGAUGUGAAAACCAUGGGCUCAACCCAUGGCCUGCAUUUGAAACUGUGGUUCUUGAGUGAUGGAGAGGCAGGCGGAAUUCCCCUGUGUAGCGGUGAAAUGCGUAGAUAUAGGGAGGAACACCAUUGGCGAAGGC
RNAcentral lists this ribosomal RNA (675 nucleotides) under uncultured bacterium. RNAcentral describes it as "bacterial SSU rRNA". It matches the Rfam family "Bacterial small subunit ribosomal RNA", at positions 53 to 722 of the family's 1533-position model. The record is from RNAcentral.